GGAGGGGUGGCCGAGUGGCCGAAGGCGGCGGUUUGCUAAACCGUUAAAGGGAGAUAAUCCCUUUCGUGGGUUCGAAUCCCAUCCCCUCCGCCA
Molecule: transfer RNA, 93 nt
Filed under: Pseudoroseomonas ludipueritiae
Lineage: Bacteria; Pseudomonadati; Pseudomonadota; Alphaproteobacteria; Acetobacterales; Acetobacteraceae
Also listed under: 8 other names
Description: tRNA-Ser
Rfam family: tRNA
About the family: Transfer RNA (tRNA) molecules are approximately 80 nucleotides in length.
Source: RNAcentral